GCGGACAGCGCGGCUGUGCGGGCGGAGAGCUGUCGCUACCACUUUCUCUGGAAGUUCAUUCCACACAGGCUCGUGUGUUAAAGUGACAGGCAGCUGGAAGCUCGGGCUGUGUUUUUGCAGCAGAACGUAGAUCAUCAGUCGCCAUUUCCGCCACCUCCACUGAGAUGCUGCCAGACACAGGUUCCUGUCCCCUCCAUUAACAGCUAUGCACCCUCCCCAGCCAGGAUAUUAAAUCAGAAUAAUUGAGGCUAGGAACUCAAAAGCAAGUUUUUACAGUCAAUGGAGUCAUCGGGAUCUGAAUAUCAUUUGCAUUUGACUGUGGACGGAG
Long non-coding RNA from Hemiscyllium ocellatum (epaulette shark), 328 nucleotides. RefSeq lists it as uncharacterized. The transcript has 3 exons. Lineage: Eukaryota; Metazoa; Chordata; Chondrichthyes; Orectolobiformes; Hemiscylliidae. The record is from RefSeq and is a predicted model, not a curated record.